This 502-nucleotide ribosomal RNA is filed under the name uncultured bacterium. Its description in RNAcentral is "partial 16S ribosomal RNA". It matches the Rfam family "Bacterial small subunit ribosomal RNA", at positions 30 to 523 of the family's 1533-position model. The record is from RNAcentral.
AUUGAACGCUGGCGGCAGGCUUAACACAUGCAAGUCGAGCGGGGGAAGGUAGCUUGCUACCGGACCUAGCGGCGGACGGGUGAGUAAUGCUUAGGAAUCUGCCUAUUAGUGGGGGACAACAUCUCGAAAGGGAUGCUAAUACCGCAUACGUCCUACGGGAGAAAGCAGGGGAUCGUCGGACCUUGCGCUACUGGAUAACGCUAAGUCGGAUUAGCUAGUUGGUGGGGUAAAGGCCUACCAAGGCGACGAUCUGUAGCCGGGUCUGAGAGGAUGAUCCGCCACACUGGGACUGAGACACGGCCCAGACUCCUACGGGAGGCAGCAGUGGGGAAUAUUGGACAAUGGGGGGAACCCUGAUCCAGCCAUGCCGCGUGUGUGAAGAAGGCCUUAUGGUUGUAAAGCACUUUAAGCGAGGAGGAGGCUACUUUAGUUAAUACCUAGAGAUAGUGGACGUUACUCGCAGAAUAAGCACCGGCUAACUCUGUGCCAGCCGCCGCAGUAA